UACGGGGGGAGCAAGCGUUGUUCGGAUUUACUGGGCGUAAAGGGCGCGUAGGCGGUAGCACAAGUCAGUUGUGAAAUCUCCGGGCUUAACUCGGAAAGGUCAACUGAUACUGUGCGACUAGAGUGCAGAAGGGGCAACUGGAAUUCUCGGUGUAGCGGUGAAAUGCGUAGAUAUCAGGAGGAACACCGGUGGCGAAGGCGGCUACCUGGACAGAAACUGACGCUGAGGCGCGAAAGCUAGGGGAGCAAACAGG
This 253-nucleotide ribosomal RNA is filed under the name uncultured bacterium. RNAcentral describes it as "partial 16S ribosomal RNA". It matches the Rfam family "Bacterial small subunit ribosomal RNA", at positions 524 to 776 of the family's 1533-position model. The record is from RNAcentral.